RNAcentral lists this long non-coding RNA (202 nucleotides) under Ostreococcus sp. 'lucimarinus'. RNAcentral's name for it is "long non-coding RNA (OLUC_LNC000026)". Lineage: Eukaryota; Viridiplantae; Chlorophyta; Mamiellophyceae; Mamiellales; Bathycoccaceae. The record is from RNAcentral.
GUCCCGCGUCGUCGCGCGCGCGUCGUCGCCUCUCGCUCGCCGCCCACACGCGCGCUCGAUGCGUUUCGUCGCCCAGCGGUCCCGUCGCGCUCCACUCGCGCUCGGCGCGCGCGUACGUCGCCCACGCGUCGUCGGCGCCCGACUCGAGCGCGCGUUCGUCGCGCAACCGCGCCUCGAACGCGUCGUCGUCGAGAAUCAUCGC